This 3008-nucleotide ribosomal RNA is filed under the name Salmonella enterica subsp. enterica serovar Thompson. Its description in RNAcentral is "bacterial LSU rRNA". It matches the Rfam family "Bacterial large subunit ribosomal RNA". RNAcentral also lists the same sequence under 1 other name. The record is from RNAcentral. Lineage: Bacteria; Pseudomonadati; Pseudomonadota; Gammaproteobacteria; Enterobacterales; Enterobacteriaceae.
GGGUUGUGAGGUUAAGCGACUAAGCGUACACGGUGGAUGCCCUGGCAGUCAGAGGCGAUGAAGGGCGUGCUAAUCUGCGAUAAGCGCCGGUAAGGUGAUAUGAACCGUUAUAACCGGCGAUACCCGAAUGGGGAAACCCAGUGUGACUCGUCACACUAUCAUUAACUGAAUCCAUAGGUUAAUGAGGCGAACCGGGGGAACUGAAACAUCUAAGUACCCCGAGGAAAAGAAAUCAACCGAGAUUCCCCCAGUAGCGGCGAGCGAACGGGGAGGAGCCCAGAGCCUGAAUCAGCAUGUGUGUUAGUGGAAGCGUCUGGAAAGGCGCGCGAUACAGGGUGACAGCCCCGUACACAAAAGCGCAUGUGCUGUGAGCUCGAUGAGUAGGGCGGGACACGUGGUAUCCUGUCUGAAUAUGGGGGGACCAUCCUCCAAGGCUAAAUACUCCUGACUGACCGAUAGUGAACCAGUACCGUGAGGGAAAGGCGAAAAGAACCCCGGCGAGGGGAGUGAAAAAGAACCUGAAACCGUGUACGUACAAGCAGUGGGAGCACCCUUUGGGGUGUGACUGCGUACCUUUUGUAUAAUGGGUCAGCGACUUAUAUUCUGUAGCAAGGUUAACCGAAUAGGGGAGCCGGAGGGAAACCGAGUCUUAAUUGGGCGUUAAGUUGCAGGGUAUAGACCCGAAACCCGGUGAUCUAGCCAUGGGCAGGUUGAAGGUUGGGUAACACUAACUGGAGGACCGAACCGACUAAUGUUGAAAAAUUAGCGGAUGACCUGUGGCUGGGGGUGAAAGGCCAAUCAAACCGGGAGAUAGCUGGUUCUCCCCGAAAGCUAUUUAGGUAGCGCCUCGUGAAUUCAUCUCCGGGGGUAGAGCACUGUUUCGGCUAGGGGGCCAUCCCGGCUUACCAACCCGAUGCAAACUGCGAAUACCGGAGAAUGUUAUCACGGGAGACACACGGCGGGUGCUAACGUCCGUCGUGAAGAGGGAAACAACCCAGACCGCCAGCUAAGGUCCCAAAGUCAUGGUUAAGUGGGAAACGAUGUGGGAAGGCCCAGACAGCCAGGAUGUUGGCUUAGAAGCAGCCAUCAUUUAAAGAAAGCGUAAUAGCUCACUGGUCGAGUCGGCCUGCGCGGAAGAUGUAACGGGGCUAAACCAUGCACCGAAGCUGCGGCAGCGAACGUAUCACUUAAAGCGAUUCAGCGGGUUACGAUUGACGGAGCGAAGCGACGUCAAAGCGUAUACAAAGUCGAGUCGGUUUAAGGAUACGUUCGUUGGGUAGGGGAGCGUUCUGUAAGCCUGUGAAGGUGGCCUGUGAGGGUUGCUGGAGGUAUCAGAAGUGCGAAUGCUGACAUAAGUAACGAUAAAGCGGGUGAAAAGCCCGCUCGCCGGAAGACCAAGGGUUCCUGUCCAACGUUAAUCGGGGCAGGGUGAGUCGACCCCUAAGGCGAGGCCGAAAGGCGUAGUCGAUGGGAAACAGGUUAAUAUUCCCGUACUUGGUGUUACUGCGAAGGGGGGACGGAGAAGGCUAUGUUGGCCGGGCGACGGUUGUCCCGGUUUAAGCGUGUAGGUGUGUGUUCCAGGUAAAUCCGGUUCACUUUAACACUGAGGCGUGAUGACGAGGCACUACGGUGCUGAAGCAACAAAUGCCCUGCUUCCAGGAAAAGCCUCUAAGCAUCAGGUAACAUCAAAUCGUACCCCAAACCGACACAGGUGGUCAGGUAGAGAAUACCAAGGCGCUUGAGAGAACUCGGGUGAAGGAACUAGGCAAAAUGGUGCCGUAACUUCGGGAGAAGGCACGCUGACACGUAGGUGAAGUGAUUUACUCAUGGAGCUGAAGUCAGUCGAAGAUACCAGCUGGCUGCAACUGUUUAUUAAAAACACAGCACUGUGCAAACACGAAAGUGGACGUAUACGGUGUGACGCCUGCCCGGUGCCGGAAGGUUAAUUGAUGGGGUCAGCGCAAGCGAAGCUCCUGAUCGAAGCCCCGGUAAACGGCGGCCGUAACUAUAACGGUCCUAAGGUAGCGAAAUUCCUUGUCGGGUAAGUUCCGACCUGCACGAAUGGCGUAAUGAUGGCCAGGCUGUCUCCACCCGAGACUCAGUGAAAUUGAACUCGCUGUGAAGAUGCAGUGUACCCGCGGCAAGACGGAAAGACCCCGUGAACCUUUACUAUAGCUUGACACUGAACAUUGAGCCUUGAUGUGUAGGAUAGGUGGGAGGCUUUGAAGUGUGGACGCCAGUCUGCAUGGAGCCGACCUUGAAAUACCACCCUUUAAUGUUUGAUGUUCUAACGUGGACCCGUAAUCCGGGUUGCGGACAGUGUCUGGUGGGUAGUUUGACUGGGGCGGUCUCCUCCUAAAGAGUAACGGAGGAGCACGAAGGUUGGCUAAUCCUGGUCGGACAUCAGGAGGUUAGUGCAAUGGCAUAAGCCAGCUUGACUGCGAGCGUGACGGCGCGAGCAGGUGCGAAAGCAGGUCAUAGUGAUCCGGUGGUUCUGAAUGGAAGGGCCAUCGCUCAACGGAUAAAAGGUACUCCGGGGAUAACAGGCUGAUACCGCCCAAGAGUUCAUAUCGACGGCGGUGUUUGGCACCUCGAUGUCGGCUCAUCACAUCCUGGGGCUGAAGUAGGUCCCAAGGGUAUGGCUGUUCGCCAUUUAAAGUGGUACGCGAGCUGGGUUUAGAACGUCGUGAGACAGUUCGGUCCCUAUCUGCCGUGGGCGCUGGAGAACUGAGGGGGGCUGCUCCUAGUACGAGAGGACCGGAGUGGACGCAUCACUGGUGUUCGGGUUGUCAUGCCAAUGGCACUGCCCGGUAGCUAAAUGCGGAAGAGAUAAGUGCUGAAAGCAUCUAAGCACGAAACUUGCCCCGAGAUGAGUUCUCCCUGAGACUUAGAGUCUCCUGAAGGAACGUUGAAGACGACGACGUUGAUAGGCCGGGUGUGUAAGCGCAGCGAUGCGUUGAGCUAACCGGUACUAAUGAACCGUGAGGCUUAACCUUACAACGCCGAAG